RNAcentral lists this ribosomal RNA (253 nucleotides) under uncultured bacterium. RNAcentral's name for it is "partial 16S ribosomal RNA". It matches the Rfam family "Bacterial small subunit ribosomal RNA", at positions 524 to 776 of the family's 1533-position model. The record is from RNAcentral.
UACGUAGGGUGCGAGCGUUAAUCGGAAUUACUGGGCGUAAAGCGUGCGCAGGCGGUUCGUUGUGUCGGCGGUGAAAGCCCCGGGCUUAACCUGGGAAUGGCCGUUGAAACUGGCGAACUGGAGUGUGGCAGAGGGGGAUGGAAUUCCGCGUGUAGCAGUGAAAUGCGUAGAUAUCAGGAGGAAUACCGAUGGCGAAGGCAGGUCUCUGGGCUGACACUGACGCUCAUGCACGAAAGCGUGGGGAGCAAACAGG